AUAGACUUAGUUUAAAAAAAACUUUGUUCUGUGAAAUCAAAAACAGGAACCUAGAAACGUUCCUAGUCUAUCC
This 73-nucleotide transfer RNA is filed under the name Ophiomastix mixta. Its description in RNAcentral is "tRNA-His". Lineage: Eukaryota; Metazoa; Echinodermata; Ophiuroidea; Amphilepidida; Ophiocomidae. The record is from RNAcentral.